AAAUCUCUUUCACCCAUCAUUCUGUCACAACAUGGCGGUCUGAUUUCUUGUGUUUUCAAACAAUGGUGUUCCCUCACCAGGCCAUGACAAAGAUAACAGUUUGAGGGUCACUAGCAUUCUGUCACAUUCCAAGUUAUCUGACAGCUCUGAGCUUUUGUUACGGUUUCAUUACCUUCUGCAAUACUUCUACACCUGACCAGGCGAAAGAGCAGC
This is a non-coding RNA of Pelobates cultripes (western spadefoot toad), 213 nucleotides long. The record is from the annotation of a GenBank genome assembly. Lineage: Eukaryota; Metazoa; Chordata; Amphibia; Anura; Pelobatidae.